Molecule: long non-coding RNA, 444 nt
Filed under: Equus caballus (horse)
Lineage: Eukaryota; Metazoa; Chordata; Mammalia; Perissodactyla; Equidae
Description: lncRNA (ENSECAG00000049987.1)
Source: RNAcentral
UUAAUUGGUCUAGGACGGGACCUGGACUUAGGUAAUUUAUAAAAUCUCCCCAAGUGAUUCCACUUUGCAGGCAGGGUUGAGAAAUCCGAGAUGAUUGCAAAUUCCGUCUUUUGUAUCCCUCCUCCAAAGGACUUGUUUCUUGGGAUUUUCUUCUCUUCUGGUCCCGCCAGAACACUGAGCUUCAUGAAGAUGAAAGUAAACUCUACUCAGACCCCAAGACCAAAUGCCACCUCCUCCAGGAAGCCUUCGCUGACCACUACAGCCGCAGUACCGCUUUCUCCAUUCAACGAAGACUGUCCGGACAAAGUCCUUGGGGAUUGUGUCUCAUACUUUUUUCAAAUGAAUAUUAGGGGGUGUGGUCUAUCCACUACAGAGUUCCAGCUAUGGAGACUUACAACAGUGAAUGGUUGUCUUCAGAAGGGCACUUACUAAAAAUAAUACCCA